Long non-coding RNA from Gossypium raimondii (Peruvian cotton), 549 nucleotides. RefSeq lists it as uncharacterized. The record is from RefSeq and is a predicted model, not a curated record. The transcript has 4 exons. NCBI's taxonomy places the organism in Eukaryota, Viridiplantae, Streptophyta, Magnoliopsida, Malvales, Malvaceae.
GUGUUUUAAGGCAUAAAAGACAAAAUUGAAACCCAAAAAUCUGCUCAUUCUCUUCUCCAUACUGCCGAAACUUUCAGAAAGCCAUGGCUAGGGUUUCAAGCUUUUUCAAAGUUCAAUUAUCGAAGAAAUCGAGAUUUGGACUAAGUACGGGGAAAUAUAAAUCAAAAUGAUCGAUUCGCGUUGAGUAUCGCCAAGUUAGCUCGGGGAUCGGUGGACGUCGGAGAUUCGCUCACACUAUCAAUUAGAACACUUGUGCUUCGGAAGCUCGCUCAAUUUGGAAGUCAUCGGAGAUUUGCGUCAUAAUAUCAAACUCUUAUUUUGGUACUUUGGACUUUAUAUUUUGGUUAAAUGGCAUGUAUAGGUAUUUUGGCUAAUGUGGCCUCUAUGACUCGUUGAGUUUUGGCCAUUUGAAUUGGCUUGUAAGGUGGUCAUGUAUUUUAAUAUGUAUAUAUGUAUAAAUGGCCUUAUAGUAUAUGAUGUAUGACUGCUAUGUGAAUUACUUGGUUGUGAAUUGGUAAUUGGGUACCAAAUGGUUGAGAUUUAUAAGUA